Molecule: ribosomal RNA, 492 nt
Filed under: uncultured bacterium
Lineage: Bacteria
Description: partial 16S ribosomal RNA
Rfam family: Bacterial small subunit ribosomal RNA
Source: RNAcentral
AGUGAACGCUGGCGGUAGGCCUAACACAUGCAAGUCGAACGGCAGCACAGUAAGAGCUUGCUCUUACGGGUGGCGAGUGGCGGACGGGUGAGGAAUACAUCCGAAUCUACUUUUUCGUGUGGGUUAACGUAGGGAAACUUACGCUAAUACCGCAUACGACCUACGGGUGAAAGCAGGGGAUCUUCGGACCUUGCGCGAUUGAAUGAGCCGAUGUCGGAUUAGCUAGUUGGCGGGGUAAAGGCCCACCAAGGCGACGAUCCGUUGCUGGUCUGAGAGGAUGGUCGGCCGCACUGGAACGGAGACACGGUCCAGAGUCCUGAGGGAGGGCGCAGUCGGGAAUGUUGGACAACGGGGGCAAACCUGGUACAGCCAUAGCGAGUGGGUGAAGGAGGCCCUCGGGUUGGAAAGACCUUUUGUUGGGAAAGAAAAGCAGCCGGUUAAUACCCCGCUUUUCUGACGGUACCCAAAGAAUAAGCACCGGCUAACUUCGUG